AUCUCAGCUGUGACAUCAGCUGCUGGAGCCUUGCUCUUUACAUGUAUUUAUGUCCUGGUAUGGCGCAAAAAAGGUAAAAGACUAAGGUUUCUCCUUUGCAAGAAGACUAGCAGCAACACGGAAAAGAAUUAUGAGGCCAUGAUAGUAUCGUACGGAUCCCUAGCUCCAAAAAGAUACAUGUAUUCAGAGGUAAUGAAGAUAACAUCUUCUCGCAGCGAUCAGCUUGGAAAAGGAGGUUAUGGUGUUGUUUUCAAAGGAAGACUGCAUGAUGGUCGUCUGGUCGCAGUAAAAUUCUUGCAUGACUGCAAAGGAAAUGGGGACGAGUUUGUUAAUGAAGUUAUGAGCAUUGGCAGGACCUCUCAUGUUAAUGUUGUUAGUUUAUAUGGGUUUUGUUUGGAGGGAUCAAAGCGAGCUCUUAUAUAUGAGUACAUGCCCAACGGUUCCUUGGAUAAGUACAUUUAUUCAGAGCACCCCAAAGAAAUUUUAGGAUGGGAGAGGCUUUAUGGGAUAGCAAUAGGGAUUGCUUGUGGCCUCGAAUACUUGCACCAUAGUUGUAAUACACGUAUCGUCCAUUUCGAUAUCAAGCCCCAAAAUAUCCUUCUAGACAAAGAUUUUAGACCAAAGAUUGCUGAUUUUGGUCUAGCUAAAUUGUGUCAUACAAAAGAGAGCAAGGUUUCAAUGAUUGGUACUAGAGGAACAAUUGGAUUCAUCGCCCCAGAAGUUCACUCGCGAACCUUUGGAGUGGUUUCAACAAAAUCGGAUGUUUAUAGUUAUGGAAUGAUGCUUCUGGAGAUGGUUGGAGGUAGGAGAAACGUAAAAUCAAUUGUUGCAAAAUCCAGCGAAAAAUAUUUUCCAGAUUGGAUUUAUGACCACUUUGCGCAAGAUGAUGGACUACAAGCAUGUGAAGUCACAUCAGAAAUUGAGGAAAUCGCAAGAAAGAUGACCUUAAUUGGCUUGUGGUGCGUACAAAUAUUGCCUGCAUAUCGCCCUACCAUAACAAAAGUUCUAGAAAUGUUCGAGAGAAGCUCAGAUGACAUGGACAAGCCACCGAAGCAAAACUUCUCUGGAUUGCUUGAAAGUUCAGCUCACAAUAUGGAUGUACAAAGUUCAAGCUCUACCAGAUCUGAGGAGAUCAGCCUUGUGAAUUCAAAAAACCUACAAAAAUCGCCAACUCUUUGA
This 1179-nucleotide ribosomal RNA is filed under the name Triticum aestivum (bread wheat). RNAcentral describes it as "partial small subunit ribosomal RNA". The record is from RNAcentral. Lineage: Eukaryota; Viridiplantae; Streptophyta; Magnoliopsida; Poales; Poaceae.